UCUGGGGGCCCUCCUCCGUGACCCCUGAAUGCCCCCCACUUCCCUCAGAUCCACACCUCGCACCUGUCAGUGCCCCGCCCCGUCCUGCCCAGUCCCAGGGGAUCGACAGCGCCCGCCCGGGGCCUCUCCCAACCCCAGCGCCGUCCUCCGCGCGGUUCCCACUUGCUGCCCCCUCGCCACCACCCGUGCCCCUCGGCUCCCUGGGUCUUCAGAGGUCCCCCUCUCCUCCUCCCAAGACCGCAGUUCCCUCCCCUCCCUUCCCCUCUCCUCCUCUGCUGCUGAGCGACUUUUCCUGCUCCCUUGCAUUCUCACGCAGGCCGUUAAGUUUGUCUACCAUUGUCCCACUUGCCUGAAUAAAUUGCUUUCUGAAGGCAUGAAGACUUAGACAAGAAAAACAAGUGGAAAGAGGCUGGUCACAGAAAGCUGAGCAGUUCAAAACUCAUUAGGUGGGGAGCUAAGCAAGUUGGGACUUCCUGGCCGGCUCCUGGUCACAGCAGCAGGCGGGAGCAUCCGCCCAGAUCCC
Long non-coding RNA from Delphinapterus leucas (beluga whale), 523 nucleotides. NCBI's taxonomy places the organism in Eukaryota, Metazoa, Chordata, Mammalia, Artiodactyla, Monodontidae. The record is from Ensembl.